AUUCAGUGAAUCAUCGAGUCUUUGAACGCACAUUGCGCCCCCUGGCAUUCCGGGGGGCAUGCCUGUCCGAGCGUCAUU
Molecule: ribosomal RNA, 78 nt
Filed under: Aspergillus versicolor
Lineage: Eukaryota; Fungi; Ascomycota; Eurotiomycetes; Eurotiales; Aspergillaceae
Description: partial 5.8S ribosomal RNA
Rfam family: 5.8S ribosomal RNA
About the family: 5.8S ribosomal RNA (5.8S rRNA) is a component of the large subunit of the eukaryotic ribosome. It is transcribed by RNA polymerase I as part of the 45S precursor that also contains 18S and 28S rRNA.
Source: RNAcentral